RNAcentral lists this ribosomal RNA (1084 nucleotides) under uncultured organism. Its description in RNAcentral is "bacterial SSU rRNA". It matches the Rfam family "Bacterial small subunit ribosomal RNA", at positions 243 to 1358 of the family's 1533-position model. The record is from RNAcentral.
AGCUAGUUGGCGGGGUAACGGCCCACCAAGGCAAAGACGGGUAGGGGGUGUGAGAGCAUGGCCCCCCACAAUGGGACUGGAACACGGCCCAUACUCCUACGGGAGGCAGCAGCAGGGAAUAUUGCACAAUGGACGGAAGUCUGAUGCAGCGACGCCGCGUGGAUGAAGAAGGCCCUCGGGUUGUAAAAUCCUUUACAGGGGGAAGAGGAAGGACGGUACCCCUGGAACAAGUGUCGGCUAACUACGUGCCAGCAGCCGCGGUAAGACGUAGGACACAAGCGUUAUCCGGAUUUACUGGGCGUAAAGCGUCUGCAGGCGGACAGGUAAGUUGGGCGUGAAAGCUCCGGGCCCAACCCGGAGAGGUCGUUCAAUACUGCGUGUCUAGAGGGUGUCAGAGGGGAGUGGAAUUUCCGGAGUAGCGGUAAAAUGCGCAGAGAUCGGAAAGAACACCAAUGGCGAAGGCAGCUCCCUGGGGCAGCCCUGACGCAAAGAGACGAAAGCUAGGGGAGCGAACAGGAUUAGAGACCCUGGUAGUCCUAGCCCUAAACGAUGGAUGCUGGAUGUGGGGCCAUAGCGCUCCGUGUCGAAGCGAACGCGUUAAGCAUCCCGCCUGGGGACUACGGCCGCAAGGUUAAAACUCAAACGAAUUGACGGGACCCCGCACAAGCAGCGGAGCGUGUGGUUUAAUUCGAUGCUACACGAAGAACCUUACCUGGGUUUGACAUCUAGGUGGUAGUGAAGCGAAAGCGGAGCGACCCUUCGGGGAGCCUAGACAGGUGCUGCAUGGCUGUCGUCAGCUCGUGCCGUGAGGUGUCGGGUUAAGUCCCGUAACGAGCGCAACCCUUGCCCUCCGUUAUACGUGUCAGAGGGGACUGCCGGCGGUAAGCCGGAGGAAGGUGGGGAUGACGUCAAGUCAGCAUGGCCUUUAUAUCCAGGGCUACACACACGCUACAAUGGCCAGUACAAAGGGCAGCGAAGCCGCGAGGUGGAGCGAAUCCCAGCAAAGCUGGUCGUAGUUCGGAUUGCAGGCUGCAACCCGCCUGCAUGAAGCUGGAGUUGCUAGUAACCGCGCGUCAGCCAUCGU